UGGUGGGGGUGGUUCAACUUCUUCGCGCAAAACAAAGCUGUAUAAUGGAUGCCUUGGCUUCUAUCACGAUGAAGAACAUGGUGAAUGAUGAAAUUGGGUGUGAAUUGCAAACCUUUGUGAACACUAUGUCUUUGAACGCGAUCCUGCAUCCAAC
RNAcentral lists this ribosomal RNA (154 nucleotides) under Heterolobosea sp. FUM1. RNAcentral's name for it is "5.8S ribosomal RNA". The stretch from base 34 to 154 matches the Rfam family "5.8S ribosomal RNA", at positions 1 to 121 of the family's 154-position model. Rfam says of the family: 5.8S ribosomal RNA (5.8S rRNA) is a component of the large subunit of the eukaryotic ribosome. It is transcribed by RNA polymerase I as part of the 45S precursor that also contains 18S and 28S rRNA. Lineage: Eukaryota; Heterolobosea. The record is from RNAcentral.